AGCGAACGCUGGCGGCGGGCUUAACACAUGCAAGUCGAGCGGGCACUUUCGGGUGUCAGCGGCGGACGGGUGAGUAACGCGUGGGAACGUGCCCUCUGGUUCGGAAUAACUCAGGGAAACUUGAGCUAAUACCGGAUACGCCCUUUUGGGGAAAGGCUUGCUGCCGGAGGAUCGGCCCGCGUCUGAUUAGCUAGUUGGUGAGGUAACGGCUCACCAAGGCGACGAUCAGUAGCUGGUCUGAGAGGAUGAUCAGCCACACUGGGACUGAGACACGGCCCAGACUCCUACGGGAGGCAGCAGUGGGGAAUAUUGGACAAUGGGCGCAAGCCUGAUCCAGCCAUGCCGCGUGAGUGAUGAAGGCCUUAGGGUUGUAAAGCUCUUUUAUCCGGGACGAUAAUGACGGUACCGGAGGAAUAAGCCCCGGCUAACUUCGUG
RNAcentral lists this ribosomal RNA (435 nucleotides) under uncultured bacterium. Its description in RNAcentral is "partial 16S ribosomal RNA". It matches the Rfam family "Bacterial small subunit ribosomal RNA", at positions 29 to 507 of the family's 1533-position model. The record is from RNAcentral.